RNAcentral lists this transfer RNA (69 nucleotides) under Gymnothorax emmae. Its description in RNAcentral is "tRNA-Phe". It matches the Rfam family "tRNA". From Rfam's summary of the family: Transfer RNA (tRNA) molecules are approximately 80 nucleotides in length. Their secondary structure includes four short double-helical elements and three loops (D, anti-codon, and T loops). Further hydrogen bonds mediate the characteristic L-shaped molecular structure. tRNAs have two regions of fundamental functional importance: the anti-codon, which is responsible for specific mRNA codon recognition, and the 3' end, to which the tRNAs corresponding amino acid is attached (by aminoacyl-tRNA synthetases). tRNAs cope with the degeneracy of the genetic code in two manners: having more than one tRNA (with a specific anti-codon) for a particular amino acid; and 'wobble' base-pairing, i.e. permitting non-standard base-pairing at the 3rd anti-codon position. Lineage: Eukaryota; Metazoa; Chordata; Actinopteri; Anguilliformes; Muraenidae. The record is from RNAcentral.
GUUAAUGUAGCUUAACCAAAAGCAUGGCACUGAAGAUGCCAAGAUGGGCCGUGAAAAGCCCCAAUGACA